This 460-nucleotide ribosomal RNA is filed under the name uncultured bacterium. RNAcentral describes it as "partial 16S ribosomal RNA". It matches the Rfam family "Bacterial small subunit ribosomal RNA", at positions 338 to 795 of the family's 1533-position model. The record is from RNAcentral.
CCUACGGGAGGCAGCAGUGAGGAAUAUUGGUCAAUGGACGAGAGUCUGAACCAGCCAAGUAGCGUGAAGGAUGACUGCCCUAUGGGUUGUAAACUUCUUUUAUAUGGGAAUAAAAUGUUCCACGUGUGGGAUUUUGUAUGUACCAUAUGAAUAAGGAUCGGCUAACUCCGUGCCAGCAGCCGCGGUAAUACGGAGGAUCCGAGCGUUAUCCGGAUUUAUUGGGUUUAAAGGGAGCGUAGGUGGAUUGUUAGGUCAGUUGUGAAAGUUUGCGGCUCAACCGUAAAAUUGCAGUUGAAACUGGCAGUCUUGAGUACAGUAGAGGUGGGCGGAAUUCGUGGUGUAGCGGUGAAAUGCUUAGAUAUCACGAAGAACUCCGAUUGCGAAGGCAGUUCACUGGACUGCAACUGACACUGAGGCUCGAAAGUGUGGGUAUCAAACAGGAUUAGAUACCCCUGUAGUC